Molecule: transfer RNA, 73 nt
Filed under: Desulfosporosinus sp.
Lineage: Bacteria; Bacillati; Bacillota; Clostridia; Eubacteriales; Desulfitobacteriaceae
Also listed under: 3 other names
Description: tRNA-Ala
Rfam family: tRNA
About the family: Transfer RNA (tRNA) molecules are approximately 80 nucleotides in length. Their secondary structure includes four short double-helical elements and three loops (D, anti-codon, and T loops). Further hydrogen bonds mediate the characteristic L-shaped molecular structure. tRNAs have two regions of fundamental functional importance: the anti-codon, which is responsible for specific mRNA codon recognition, and the 3' end, to which the tRNAs corresponding amino acid is attached (by aminoacyl-tRNA synthetases). tRNAs cope with the degeneracy of the genetic code in two manners: having more than one tRNA (with a specific anti-codon) for a particular amino acid; and 'wobble' base-pairing, i.e. permitting non-standard base-pairing at the 3rd anti-codon position.
Source: RNAcentral
GGGGCCGUAGUUCAGUUGGGAGAGCGCUUGACUGGCAGUCAAGAGGUCACGGGUUCGAAUCCCGUCGGCUCCA